AACGAACGCUGGCGGCAUGCCUAACACAUGCAAGUCGAACGAGACCUUCGGGUCUAGUGGCGCACGGGUGCGUAACGCGUGGGAACCUGCCCUUAGGUUCGGAAUAACCCCCCGAAAGGGGUGCUAAUACCGGAUAAUGUCUUCGGACCAAAGAUUUAUCGCCUUUGGAUGGGCCCGCGUUGGAUUAGCUAGUUGGUAGGGUAAAAGCCUACCAAGGCGACGAUCCAUAGCUGGUCUGAGAGGAUGAUCAGCCACACUGGGACUGAGGCACGGCCCAGACUCCUACGGGAGGCAGCAGUGGGGAAUAUUGGACAAUGGGCGAAAGCCUGAUCCAGCAAUGCCGCGUGAGUGAUGAAGGCCUUAGGGUUGUAAAGCUCUUUUACCCGGGAGGAUAAUGACAGUACCGGGAGAAUAAGCGCCGGCUAACUCCGUG
This 433-nucleotide ribosomal RNA is filed under the name uncultured bacterium. RNAcentral describes it as "partial 16S ribosomal RNA". It matches the Rfam family "Bacterial small subunit ribosomal RNA", at positions 29 to 507 of the family's 1533-position model. The record is from RNAcentral.